RNAcentral lists this ribosomal RNA (466 nucleotides) under Veillonella parvula. RNAcentral's name for it is "bacterial SSU rRNA". It matches the Rfam family "Bacterial small subunit ribosomal RNA", at positions 28 to 471 of the family's 1533-position model. The record is from RNAcentral. Lineage: Bacteria; Bacillati; Bacillota; Negativicutes; Veillonellales; Veillonellaceae.
GACGAACGCCGGCGGCGUGCUUAACACAUGCAAGUCGAACGAAGAGCGAUGGAAGCUUGCUUCUAUCAAUCUUAGUGGCGAACGGGUGAGUAACGCGUAAUCAACCUGCCCUUCAGAGGGGGACAACAGUUGGAAACGACUGCUAAUACCGCAUACGAUCUAAUCUCGGCAUCGAGGAUAGAUGAAAGGUGGCCUCUACAUGUAAGCUAUCACUGAAGGAGGGGAUUGCGUCUGAUUAGCUAGUUGGAGGGGUAACGGCCCACCAAGGCGAUGAUCAGUAGCCGGUCUGAGAGGAUGAACGGCCACAUUGGGACUGAGACACGGCCCAGACUCCUACGGGAGGCAGCAGUGGGGAAUCUUCCGCAAUGGACGAAAGUCUGACGGAGCAACGCCGCGUGAGUGAUGACGGCCUUCGGGUUGUAAAGCUCUGUUAAUCGGGACGAAAGGCCUUCUUGCGAAUAGUGAG